This 589-nucleotide non-coding RNA is filed under the name Ixodes scapularis (black-legged tick). RNAcentral's name for it is "Eukaryotic small subunit ribosomal RNA". The stretch from base 236 to 461 matches the Rfam family "Eukaryotic small subunit ribosomal RNA", at positions 1229 to 1478 of the family's 1831-position model. Lineage: Eukaryota; Metazoa; Arthropoda; Arachnida; Ixodida; Ixodidae. The record is from Rfam by way of RNAcentral.
UCGGCAUCGCAGCGGCGGACGUGCUAUAGCAGCUGUGGCUGUAGCCACGAUCUUCGCGUGGUUGCUGUCAAAAAAAAAAGAAAAAUAGAGAAGAACGCUCCGCUUCUGUCCUGUGUGAUUUAGAGGUCGCUUCCGAUCGGGCGCUCUCCAAGGGGCAGUGUUACCAGGGGAAAUAAAAACGUGCUGCCUCUUCAAUUGUGGUGGGCGCAUUCACGACGUGUGUCGCAUUUUGAAUUUCUGGGAGGAUUGACAGAUUGAGAGCUCUUUCUUGAUUCGGUGGAUGGUGGUGCAUGUCCGUUCUUAGUUGCUGGAGUGAUUCGUCCGGUUAAUUCUGAUAACGAACGAGACUCCAGCCUAAUAAAUAUGUGCGUGGUUCUCUGCACCUCGCACCCUUCCUAGAGAGACAGGAGGCUCCUAACCGCACGAAACAGAGCAAUAACAGGUAUUUUAUGUCCUUAGAUGUCCGGGGCCGCACGCGCGCUACGCUAAAGGAAACAGCGUGUUUUCACCCCUGUCAGUUAAGAGAGUAAGCAUAGAAAACGUGGCUUGAGAAAAAAAACAGGAGUAAUUGAAGUCCACGGAUUACCCC